GGCCCACGGCUGCUGGCCCGCGCAGGAAGGAUUGAGCCUGCUGGCUACUUUUUUAUUUUUCUUUUUUUGCGAAAAAGGAGAGAGCUCUAUUGAUUACUCAUUAUUUCAUGAGAGGAGAUGUUUUCUUUUUAUUAAAUACUAGCAAAUAUGCCCGUGCAUUGCAACGAAAAAAUAAAAAACUAUCCAACAUUCAUGGUGAACAACGUAUAAAUGGUACAUACUACCUUCGUUCCAAUUUACAUGUCAUUUUGACUUCUAAAUAUAUAACUUUUACUUUGUACAUCUAGACACAUCGUGUAUCUACGUGCGCAGCAAAAGUUAUUUAGACGACCUAUAAUUUAGUACAAAGGGCGGUAUUAUUUAUGUUUCAUCAUUUAAAAUUUAAUAUUUUUUCAUUCUAUCCAUGUGUUGCUAUAGUUCAAGAAAAACAAAGUAUACCGCUCUUAUGCUCACAUUCAAUUUAGCAAUUUGAGCCUGUUGCUAUAGUUUAAUUUUAGCCUCAAAAUAACAUUGUCGCUAGCCCAUUUAUUACAAUGCUAUAGUUAAAUACUGUUUUUUGUGCCAUUUGAGACCAUAAAAAUCUAUAAUUUUAAUCUCUGACUAAAGUCAACAAAAAGUUAGUUACUGACAUGUUUAUGAUUAAUCUAUCCUCUUAGAUUAUGAUGGGAAACUAAAUCUAGUUUUCACAUGCUAACCCUCAUCAGUGAUUGUAAAGAUACACUUAUUUAGACCAGAUUAGAUAAUAAAACUAUUUAAAAUUGUAUCCAUAUUUUGAUUAAUUGAAUCACAUGUUAAUCAAGGUUUAAAUAAGAAUAUGUUUCUAAUAAAAAUUACAUUAACAACUUGACAAUAAAAUUUUUUUGCUUGGACAAAAAUCAACGAUUCAAAGGUCCAUAACUUUUCUUUUAGAAAAAGUAAAGUCAAUGGAAAAAGUCACCUAAGAGGAUAACUGGUGAAAAAAAAUAAAAUUUCAAAUAAAGUAAUCGGAUGGAAGAUAAAAAAAAGUCAAAUGAUGUGCACCCAAGGAAACGAAAGAAAGAAAACCAAUAUUUAUUAGACACAAACUGAAUCGGACAUGGAUCCGGUAAAGAGGAUCAGGGACAUUAUAACAUGAUUAUAGUGGUUUGAAAAAGUUAUUUUAUGGCAGAAGUUUUAUGAUAAAUUAAAAAGGUAUUGUUUAAUACUCUCUCCGUCCCA
Molecule: long non-coding RNA, 1197 nt
Filed under: Sorghum bicolor (sorghum)
Lineage: Eukaryota; Viridiplantae; Streptophyta; Magnoliopsida; Poales; Poaceae
Description: long non-coding RNA (SBIC_LNC013516)
Source: RNAcentral